AGGACGAACGCUGGCGGCGUGCUUAACACAUGCAAGUCGAGGGGGAGUAGGGGCAACUCUACUCCACCGGCGAACGGGUGCGUAACACGUGAGCGACCUACCCUGGUGUGGGGGAUAGCCGGCCCAACGGCCGGGUAAUACCGCAUGCGCUCUUUGGGCUUCCUGGCCCGGAGAGCAAAGCCUUCGGGCGCAUUGGGAGGGGCUCGCGGCCUAUCAGCUAGUUGGCGGGGUAACGGCCCACCAAGGCGGCGACGGGUAG
This 259-nucleotide ribosomal RNA is filed under the name uncultured soil bacterium. RNAcentral describes it as "partial 16S ribosomal RNA". It matches the Rfam family "Bacterial small subunit ribosomal RNA", at positions 26 to 286 of the family's 1533-position model. The record is from RNAcentral.